This 425-nucleotide ribosomal RNA is filed under the name Ammonia sp. RNAcentral describes it as "partial large subunit ribosomal RNA". The record is from RNAcentral. Lineage: Eukaryota; Foraminifera; Rotaliida; Rotaliidae.
CGUAAUAACAGAAACUAACCAGGAUUCCCUUAGUAACGGCGAGUGAACUGGGAUACCAAUAUAUUUAUGCGUCUCUGGCGCAUAUUUUUAGCCCGUCGAUACUAUCCUAGCGUAUUACCGGUUUCGGCCGGUAGCCCAAUACGCGGGAAUUGUAGCAUCGUAAUAAAAUAUACACCAUGCCUGCGUCGCAAACGUAUAUACACGUAUAUACACGUAUACUCACACACACACAUACUCGUACGCGUACACACCCCUUGCAAACACACAGCGCUCCCGCGUUGGAAAGCAAGUCUAUAUCCUCUUUGGAUAUGCCAUAGAGUGUGACAGCCACGUUUGAAACACCCUUACGUACCGUACACACACAUACGUAAAAAUACGCGCUGCUUCGCAUACGCAUACCGUAUAUAACCUGAGUCGAGUUAUUU